GCGGAAGUAGUUCAGUGGUAGAAUACAACCUUGCCAAGGUUGGGAUCUCGGGUUUGAAUCCCGUCUUCCACUCCA
This 75-nucleotide transfer RNA is filed under the name Peribacillus asahii. RNAcentral's name for it is "tRNA-Gly". It matches the Rfam family "tRNA". Rfam says of the family: Transfer RNA (tRNA) molecules are approximately 80 nucleotides in length. Their secondary structure includes four short double-helical elements and three loops (D, anti-codon, and T loops). Further hydrogen bonds mediate the characteristic L-shaped molecular structure. tRNAs have two regions of fundamental functional importance: the anti-codon, which is responsible for specific mRNA codon recognition, and the 3' end, to which the tRNAs corresponding amino acid is attached (by aminoacyl-tRNA synthetases). tRNAs cope with the degeneracy of the genetic code in two manners: having more than one tRNA (with a specific anti-codon) for a particular amino acid; and 'wobble' base-pairing, i.e. permitting non-standard base-pairing at the 3rd anti-codon position. Lineage: Bacteria; Bacillati; Bacillota; Bacilli; Caryophanales; Bacillaceae. The record is from RNAcentral.